Molecule: ribosomal RNA, 479 nt
Filed under: uncultured bacterium
Lineage: Bacteria
Description: partial 16S ribosomal RNA
Rfam family: Bacterial small subunit ribosomal RNA
Source: RNAcentral
GAUGAACGCUAGCGGGAGGCCUAACACAUGCGAGCCGAGCGGUAGAGUUCCUUCGGGAACUUGAGAGCGGCGUACGGGUGCGUAACACGUGUGCAACCUACCUUUAUCUGGGGGAUAGCCUUUCGAAAGGAAGAUUAAUACCCCAUAAUAUAAUGAUUGGCAUCAAUUAUUAUUGAAAACUCCGGUGGAUAGAGAUGGGCACGCGCAAGAUUAGAUAGUUGGUGAGGUAACGGCUCACCAAGUCAAUGAUCUUUAGGGGUCCUGAGAGGGAGAUCCCCCACACUGGUACUGAGACACGGACCAGACUCCUACGGGAGGCAGCAGUGAGGAAUAUUGGACAAUGGGUGAAAGCCUGAUCCAGCCAUCCCGCGUGAAGGAUGACGGUCCUAUGGAUUGUAAACUUCUUUUGUACAGGGAUAAACCUACUCUCGUGAGGGUAGCUGAAGGUACUGUACGAAUAAGCACCGGCUAACUCCGUG